Molecule: long non-coding RNA, 6969 nt
Filed under: Jatropha curcas
Lineage: Eukaryota; Viridiplantae; Streptophyta; Magnoliopsida; Malpighiales; Euphorbiaceae
Description: long non-coding RNA (JCUR_LNC000514)
Source: RNAcentral
AUUCUAACCAGAUCUUUAUUCUGUGCCAGUAACAUGGUUUGAAGUUUUGGACAUUUUGGUGACAAUCUAGAAGGAAUUUCUGAUAUGUGAUUGUCAAUCAAGGAUACGCUCUCAAGUUCCUCCAUCCAUCUGUUCUCAUUUGGUAAUUCUCUUAACCGAACUCCAGCUUCUACAAGCAAUUGAUUAUCCAUGCUUUUCAUCUGUAUUACCAUGUCCCUAAUUAGGUCAUGCAUCUUCACAUAUUUCUUAUCACAACUGCUUUCCAAAAGACAAGCAUUUUCAAGCUUGUUUAGCAUAGCAUAACCCUUUUUAAACUCUGCUUGACUAUUUUUCAUUUUAUCUACUAUUCCUACACCAAUCAAAUGCCUUAUCAGCUGUGUCCUUUUGAUCAAAAAGUCCUCCGGGUAUAAUGCACUAUAUAUGAGACACUGCCUGAACUUGUCAUCUUUCAAAUGCGCAUAACUAAAUUUUAGCUGCUCAAGCACCUUAUCCAUGUCCUUAAACCCCUUUGUAGAUUCCCUCAACUCCUCUAGAGCAUUUUCCCAUACAAAUAUGUCAUCUUCGCCCUUCAUACUACCAGCUAUAGUGAUAAUUGCAAGGGGCAAGCAGGUACAUUCAUCAGCAACUUGUUUUGCUGUUGCUUCUAAUUCCGGGGUAAUAAAAACUUGACGUCCAACUUUUUCCACAAAUAAGUUCCAUGCCUCCUCUUCAGUAAGACGCUCCAUUUUGAUAUCCUUGCAACCCAUGCUCUGACAAAUGUUAAGCAAUCGAGUUGUUAAUACUAAUUUGCAUCCAUUAUCAGGUGUAGGCUCAGGAAUUCCUACAUCCUCAAGAUUGAAUGCUUCCCACAUAUCAUCAAGCAUUAACAACCAGUUUUGCUUUUCUCCCAGCCAUUUAAAUAACUUGACAGCCAUUCUUGUUUCAUCAUCAUGUUGUGCAAAAUCUAGAUUCAAUGCAGCUGCAAUGUCUUUCUGUAAGUUCCCAAGGUUUAGUGGUUGUGACACUGUCACCCAAAUCACAUUAUCAAAUUUGGCGUGGCCACUUUGGAGUCUGUUGUUGAUAUGCUUCAUAAUGGUUGUUUUUCCAACACCACCCAUGCCAUAAAUUCCAACCUUUCUAACUUCAUUAUCCAUCAAGCAAGUCCAAAUUUCGUCCAUCUUCCUUUUAGCUGUUUCACCAACUAAUGCUGUUGCAGGUAAGAUCCCUCGACCAUCCGCAGGUGUAUCAAUCACCAAACUGUCACCAAAAUCACCCAUUUGACGAAGAUCCUCCACUUCUUGUAUCUUCUUAAAAGCAAGUUUUGCCCAGCAUGCACGUGAAAGAUAUUUCCGCUUCGCAACUUCUUGCUCAAUUUCACCAUUGAUAGUCUCUACAUUUUGCAACCAAAGCUCAACCUCUUUUCUAGGUAAUUUCCCUGGAAAAAGCUCUGCACUUAAUCUUGAAGCUACAUCUUCCUUCCGGCUGUUUAGUUCAUUCACUUUCCUUCUCAAAUUACUCAUAUAUUGGUCCAUGUGUCUAUGAUAUUCCCAGCAGGUUCCUACUGGAGUCCAUAACUUGUUUACAAGUUCUAUAACUGACCCAGCAAUCUCCAUCUACAGAUCGAUGCAUAAGAGACAAUAUUUUACAAUUCCUUGAUAAAAAACCAAACAUAAGAAUUUAACCAUAAAAUUUGUUUAUUUACUAUUAGCAAUAGAUUUCAUGAAGAAGGGUCAAAGGAAUCAUCUAGGGGGAAAAAAGCUACUUUUACAUUAAGAGACAAAGAUUUCAAGAAUCAAAGACACGACUUUCUUCUUCGACUACUACUUCUAAGUUAUAUUUUGAUGCAUAAGGGCAAAUAUUUUGUAAGUCCUUGCUGAAAAAUCAAACAUAAAAAUUUAAUCAUAAAAUUUGUUUAGUUACUAUUAGCAAUCAAUCAAGAAUCAGAAGAUUUCAUGAAGAGCAGUCAAAAGAACCUUUUUGGGGUGGAGAAAAAGCUACUUUUACAUCAUGAAACAAAGAUUUCAAGAAUCAAACACUCAACUCACUUCUUCAACUACUAGUUGUAAGUUAAUAGCAUUGCAAUUAGCCAUUUAAAAUUCUUCAACUAGUAACCACAAGAAUCAAAGCAAAAUAAUGACAGGUAGAUCCAAAUCUGCAAGUUUUCAGAAUAAAAGUACCUGAUUGAUGGAUGUUAACUUUGAUUUAUUUUAAGUACCACAAAAACUCCCUUGCCAGUGUCUCCUCCCUUUUAAGAAUUUGAGAAUAGAAAAUUGAAUUUUCUUGUACACGGAAAAAAAAAGGUUCACUGAAUCAGUAAGAGGAAGAUCAGUAGCAAAUUCCUUGUUGUGUAAAGGAAACAAUAUAAUACAAUAUUCUAACCACCCACUAUUUAAAGAGUAGAAAUAUUUGUCGUGGGACUUUGAAAAGUUAAGCUAUAAAGUUCGUCUUAGCACUUUGUAGUUGUAUCCCUCCUCUGUUAUGAAGCUUAGCAGGCGCGUGGGUUUGUAGACAUUGGGUCAGUUGUAGCCACUUUGUACCACAUAAAAAUCUUCUAUGGAUUUCAUAUUUAGCUAAUAUUUUACACCUGGACACCAUUUAAGCUGAUAUUGGGUCCACAAAUUUCAGGCCAGCUGUAAGCCUUUGAUUAUUAAAAAAAAACAAAAAAAUCUUCCUUCUCGUUCAGAAAACAGACUGACUUGCAAGAAUCUUGCAGACCAAAUUUGCAUUUCAUUGAAUAAUAUGUUGUCUAUAGAAAAGGUAAGGGAUAUAGAAGUCGAAAUCUCUGCAGAAAUUUAUGUUGAAUAAAAAGGAAAAGGGAUCAAAUUUUACUGUUUGUACAUUGAUCAGUUCCGUAUGAGUUGAGUAGCCAUAUGAUUGUAUAUCAUCAGAACUGCAAAGGCAGAACAGCAAACUGCCGUCCACUGAUCACGUGCAACUCAGAUAGUUCCUCGUUGAAGCACAAAUGGAUAUCAUCAGAACAAGCUCGAUUUUUAUAUGGCCAAGCAAGUAUCUGAUGUUGGAAAGCAUGACGGGGAAAAUCUUCAGCUAGAAUCAGAUGAUCACAUCAAAGACUGCUCUAACAGCGAAUAUAUUGUUGUUGUUUCAUUAGGUGAUCCUUUCAGGCAUAUUCCGGCAAAUAACACACGUCAACUUCUGGUAAGCAUAAAUUCAACACAAAAGGUUCAGUGAUGCUAGCCAUUGACAAUCUCACUAAUACAGAGAUUAGAAGCAGCAGUCCUUUGAAAAUAAACUUAUUAGAAUCUCUCUACGCAUCCCCAUUUUUACCAUUUGCUUCAAAACCAACUCAACCUCCCCAAUCAACUUGUCAUUGCAAAGCCCAUGAAUCAACUUCUUGUAAGAUGCAAAACUAGGACUAUUAGCCUCGCAAAUCAUCAUAGCCAUGAAUUCUUUUGCCUCCAAAAACUUCCCGGCAUCAAGCAAACCAUAUAGAACUUCUUGAUAAGACCCUGCAUUUGGUUCGCAUCCCGUGAGCUUCAUUUUCUGCAGCAGCUCCAUCCCAUCUUCAAUCCUUCCUUGUUUCCUUAACCCUGAAAUCAAAAUAUUGAAAGUGAUUGUAUCCGCUUCAAUACCCUCAUUUUCCAUUCUCUCAAGCAAACCAAAUGCCUUAUUCACCUCCCCUUUUGCACAGAAGUAGUGCAUCAGCGUUGAGAAAGUUCUCACAUUAGGCCUGCAUCUUUGUUUGGGAAAUUCGUCGAGCACAUUGAAUGCAAACUGUAAAUCCCCAUUUUCACAUAACCCUUUAAUGAGAAUAUUAAGACAACAAGCAUCAAUUUCUACACCCAAAAUGGGGGCUUUCACAUAUAUCUCAUGAACUACAUAAAAAAGNNNNNNNNNNNNNNNNNNNNNNNNNNNNNNNNNNNNNNNNNNNNNNNNNNNNNNNNNNNNNNNNNNNNNNNNNNNNNNNNNNNNNNNNNNNNNNNNNNNNNNNNNNNNNNNNNNNNNNNNNNNNNNNNNNNNNNNNNNNNNNNNNNNNNNNNNNNNNNNNNNNNNNNNNNNNNNNNNNNNNNNNNNNNNNNNNNNNUUCAAUGGCAUCAAAGUUUUUGGCACAGGCAAGCUGGUUUAUAACAACAGUGAAAAUAGCUUCAUUGGGUUUAUAGUCUUUUCUCUUUGAGUAUUGAUUCCAGAUAGAGAUAACUGAAUCUGGGUCUUUAAUGUCUUCGAAAAUCUUUAAAACUUCAUUUGGAGACAACCAGUCUUUAUGGUUCAGUUUGUAAUGAGUAUGAGGCGGAUGUUGGGUUGACUGCGAAGAAGAUGGUACAGUAGAGCAAGAGAAAAACGAAGGGAAUAUAGAAAUUGGGUGAUGGACAGUGCGUCUUGAAUGAGCUUGAAGAGAGUGAAAGAUUGAUUUGUGAACUAGAAAUGAACGGAAAAGCAUUCUGUUCGUCUUCGAUUUGCAGGCUGGUGGUUUCGUGCGAGAACUUAUGAGUUAGGAUUCCUACCUCGUGCAAACCGCAAAGCAAGCACCGAACGAGUAACCAUUUUUCUCUUAAGCAAAUAAUAUUUUGCGCUAAGCAAGCUUCAAGGAUAUUGAGAAUUAAGCCAUUUUGACAACUUCCAACUGGAAGAUAGUUUCCUUUUUCUUUUUUAUUUGCGCUAUCAUCUGGAUCAGAUUAUGUAUCGGGUCGAGCCGUCAAUUGAUAUCAGAUCUCCUCGGUUAGGUGGAAUUUGCGAGUCUUCCUCAAGUCGGACUUUAUCAUAUCGGGUUGUCAUCCUAUUACCUUCUUGUUGAAUUUAACGCAAAAAUUAAAAAAAUUAUUGAAUCACUUCGAUUUUCAAAAAUAAGUAUAAAAUUGAAAUAUAAUAAUUAAUGUUAUCGUGUACUUAAACUUGUAAAUUUCAGUAAUUUAUGUACUUUCUAUACUAACAAUUUUUGAUUUUUAUACGUAAAAUACCCGUUUAAUUAUAGCUAGCAUAAUUUUUUGUUACUAGGCUCCGUCUAUUUCAAAAAAAAAACUUACUAGAAACUAUUUUUCAAAUAAUUUAUUUUCUGUUGUUCGGUUACAGUAUUGAAAAUUCAUUAAAAAUAUUAAAAUUUUAAUUCAUAAUAAUAAUAAUAAUAAUAAAUUUCAUAUUUUAAAAUUUUUAUUGUUAAAUAUGAGAAUAGUGAAAAAAAUGAUAAAUUAUGAAAGCAUGCUACUAACCGAUGGUCGUAUCCAAUGGUGGUGGUAGCUAUCAAUUAUUAAUAAAUUAAAAAAAUUAGAAAAUUUAUAAUGUUAUAAUAAGUUUGCCAAAUCUAGAAAAUAUUUUACGCCCUUGAAAAUAGAAAGUCAUUUUCCUUAAACAUGAAUUUUUUUUUUUAUUAGGAAAAUAUUUUUUAUUAACUUAUUUUCGUAAAUGCCUCUAGACAACAAUACAUUAUGAAAAAUAUGUUCCAGUAAUUUAUUUUACGCAAAUACCGGAGCCUAAAAAAAAAAUUAUUUUCAUAAUUGCAAGAUAAUCAAGCCAAAUAAGAAAAAGUAUUUUUAUUAGAUGAAAUUGUAACUCACACAUAACCAAUGGAUGAUUAUGAGCAGGCCAAGAAGCAAUUCCAACCUGCCUUCCUCUCAAAAGAGGUGCUAGAGAGAGAGAGAGAUCAACAUUUUGUAAUUUCUUGAAAUUAUUUAAAUUUAUUAUCUAGCCAUUAUAUAAAUAACCUAGAUGUGAACUUGAACAUCAGCCAAUUGACUAAAAUUCAUUGGUGUCAUAUACUUAGCAUCUCCAGUGUAGAGGCUGUCAGCUAACAAUUGAGAAGCUGCUUGAGAUGGAUGAUACAAAUCCCAAAACAAGUACUCACUUCUUCAUUUGUGGGCAGUCAUAAAUAACAACCUCUCCAAGGUUUUGAAGUAGUAGAAGCAACCCAGGUUUGAACAGACUCCUUAUAUUUGAACAACCUUGGAUUUUGAGAACUGUGAGACUGGAAAAGGCACUAGGAAGAACUGAUUGUGGUGUAGCAUGCAAAGAAGAUGAUGUCAUUGCCAGGCUUUCUUUUCCUGAAUUAAAACGAAUUUCAUUCUUCUGUGUUGAAAAAUAGCUCAAGGUUUUGAAAUUGUGGCACCUCUCAAUACUCAGGAACUCAACAUCAAUUGGGACCAAAAGUGAAUCUUCUAUGCCGUCUUCACUGAUGCCAUAAUCAAUUAUUCUUACAACUUUUUUAACUUUUUUGAAGUCUCCAGCUUUAUACAAGUCCUUCUCUCCCAGUUGUAGAAAGUACUUUCUCAGCACUCGGCCAUGCAGAGACCCAACAAGUAUAUUAAAACUAGAUAAACUGUAAGAUUGACAUUCAAUUUUUUCUAUCAUUUUCAAGCCUACCAAUUCCUCACCUUUUACUUUCAAAUUUUUUGAUCUGCACCACAGUCGGAAAUAUUCAAGGCAAGAGAGCUUUGGUAAUAUUCCGAUUGGGAACUCUAGAUCUCGCACAUAGAGAUUAAGAUACCUGAGAUUGAUCAAACUUUCCAUGCCUUCAGGUACAUGUUGGAUUCCAGUAUAUCUAAGAUCCAACUCCCUUAGUGCACCUAGCUUUGCUACAGAAGGCACGGACUGCAAUAAUGCUUAAGAUACAAUGCAACAAGAUUCUCCAAUGUGGAGAUGGAGUUUGGUAAACUCUUAAUUCCAGUAUAAGACAGAUCCAGAAGCCUCAAAACAUGCAUGCAUGAAAAGAAAGAAUCUGGAAUUCUAACCAGAUCUUUAUUCUGUGCCAGUAACAUGGUUUGAAGUUUUGGACAUUUUGGUGACAAUCUAGAAGGAAUUUCUGAUAUGUGAUUGUCAAUCAAGGAUACGCUCUCAAGUUCCUCCGUCCAUCUGUUCGCAUUUGGUAAUUCUCUUAACCGAACUCCAGCUUCUACAAGCAAUUGAUGAUCCAUGCUUUUCAUCUGUAUUACCAUCUCCCUAAUUAGGUCAUGCAUCUUCACAUAUUUCUUAUCACGAAUGCUUUCCAAAAGACAAGCAUUUUCAAGCUUGUUUAGCAUAGCAUAUCCAUUGACAAACUCUGCU